GGUUAAGUUAUUAAGGGCACACGGUGGAUGCCUUGGCAGUCGAACCGAAGAAGGACGUGGCUACCCGCGAAAGGCCUCGACGAGCUGGAAGCAAGCUAAGACUCGGGGGUAUCCGAAUGGGGAAACCCACUAGAGCGAACCUCUAGUACCCUACAGUGAAUUCAUAGCUGUAGUGGAGGGAACCCAGGGAACUGAAACAUCUAAGUACCUGGAGGAAAAGGAAGAAAACUCGAUUCCCUUAGUAGCGGCGAGCGAAACGGGAACAGCCCAAACCGGGGCCUACGGGCCCCGGGGUUGUAGGACCAGCACCAUGGACUUGAAUGUCUAGCCGAAGCGCACUGGAAAGGCGCACCAGAGUGGGUGAGAGUCCCGUAGGCGAAAGGCACGAGAGCCUAGCUGGCACCUGAGUAACUCAGGUCACGUGAAACCCUGAGUGAAGCAGCGGGGACCACCCCGCAAGGCUAAAUAUUCCGACUGACCGAUAGUGAACCAGUACCGUGAGGGAAAGGUGAAAAGAACCCCGUGAGGGGAGUGAAAUAGUCCCUGAAACCGUGUGCUUACAAGCAGUCACAGCCCUAUAGGGGCAUUAUCUAUUCUAUAGAUGAUACCUCUAGGGUAGUGGCGUGCCUCUUGAAGCAUGAUCCUGCGACUUACUGGGUGUACCGAGUUUAAGCCGAUAGGCGGAGGCGAAGCGAAAGCGAGUCUUAACAGGGCGUCUAGGUGCACUUAGCAGACCCGAAACCAGAUGAGCUAGGCAUGGCCAGGAUGAAGCUCUUGUAAAAGGGAGUGGAGGUCCGAACCCGUUGACGUUGAAAAGUCUUGGGAUGAGCUGUGUUUAGGAGUGAAAAGCUAACCGAAUCUGGAGAUAGCUGGUUCUCCCCGAAAUAGCUUUAGGGCUAGCCUCGGAGGUUCAGCACUGGUUGUAAAGCACUGAUUGGGCUAGGGGGCUUACCAGCUUACCAACCCCUGUCAAACUCUGAAGGCCAGUGUUCCAUACUCCGGGAGUCAGUCUGCGUGAGCUAACUUUCGCAGACGAGAGGGAAACAACCCAGAGCGCCGGUUAAGGUCCCCAAGUAACAGCUAAGUGGUGAAGGAUGUAAAGACGCUAAGACAGCUAGGAGGUUGGCUUAGAAGCAGCCAUUCCUUUAAAGAGUGCGUAAUAGCUCACUAGUCGAGUGUCUUCGCGCCGAAGAUGAUCGGGGCUAAGCUGUUCACCGAAACCGCGCCAAUCCCCCCGCCCUAACGGGCACCCCCUUAACAAGGGGGCAGGGGGGGAUUGGGUAGGGGAGCGUUCCGUAGGCCGUUGAAGCAUGACCGGAAGGACAUGUGGAGGUAUCGGAAGUGCGAAUGCAGGAAUGAGUAACGAUAAACAGGGUGAGAAUCCCUGUCGCCGAAAGCCUAAGGGUUCCUGGGGAAGGGUCGUCCUCCCAGGGUUAGGCGGGACCUAAGGCGAGGCCGAAAGGCGUAGUCGAUGGACAGCGGGUCAAUAUUCCCGCCCCACUUGUGUGGAGUGAUGGGGUACGCAUUAGGAUAGGCCAACCGGAGCUAUGGCUAUGCCCGGCGGGUAAUGAAGCUGGUCGGGACAGGAAAAUCCGCCCGACAAGACAGUGACAUUAUUCGGGAAGCCCCUUUGGGGUGAUAACUGGUUGACUCCACGGUGCCAAGAAAAGCCUCUAAACGUUUGAAGCACGAGUGCCCGUACCAAAACCGACACAGGUAGGCGAGUGUAAAAGCACUAAGGCGCGCGAGAGAACUCUCUCUAAGGAACUCUGCAAAAUAGCCCCGUAACUUCGGGAGAAGGGGUCCCGCACUAUCGUGACACUACGGUGAAAGCGAGAAGCGGGCACAGUAAAUUGGCUCUAGCGACUGUUUACCACAAUCACAGCUCUCUGCCAACCCGAAUAGGGGACGUAUAGGGAGUGACACCUGCCCGGUGCCGGAAGGUCAAGGGGAGCGGUUAACGCUGCGAACUGAAGCCCCGGUGAACGGCGGCGGUAACUAUAACCGUCCUAAGGUAGCGAAAUUCCUUGUCAGGUAAGUUCUGACCUGCACGAAUGGUGUAACGACUGGAGCGCUGUCUCGGAGAGAG
This 2089-nucleotide ribosomal RNA is filed under the name Gemmatimonadota bacterium. RNAcentral's name for it is "partial 23S ribosomal RNA". It matches the Rfam family "Bacterial large subunit ribosomal RNA", at positions 1 to 2030 of the family's 2925-position model. Lineage: Bacteria; Pseudomonadati; Gemmatimonadota. The record is from RNAcentral.